UUUCUUCAUUUUUAUUAUUGUUCUUGUUGUUGCUAAUUUUGUUGUAAAUUCCAACGAUUAAUUGUAUGCCCCUCGAGCAUAGAACACUUGCCGAGAGUUUUGUUCGCCUGUUAGUAAAACUGGAUUGUGGGCCCGACUGACCGCACGAACACGUUACUUGUACACCAACAAAUAACAGAAAUCGGAUCAAAUGCAAAUCAAAGAGGAAGAAAUAAAUAGCUUCAAUACUUGCAUUUGUGUGUUUAGCAACUAAACAACAAUAAAAAGCGCAAGAGUUAGCAUGAAUAAGCUUGACCACUUAAUGACCAGGCUAGCACUGGCACUGCCAAUGUUGUCUAUCGUACAACAUAACAGUAGUGAAUUUUCUGUUGUUGCGUUCGACAUUGGCGCUCGUUUGUGGGGAGUACACUCGAACCCAACGAAAUGCAAAGCACUGCAAAUCACACCACAGUGGAACAUUCACACCUUCUUGCACGCGCUUGUAUAUGUAUGUAUAUAUGUAUGUAUGUACAUACAUAUGCUUGGUGCGGCCCCACAAUUCGCCGAUGCCAACAUGUUGUCGUAGGUCAGUUGCGGCGCGUUUUCUUGACGCAACAAAGUUAAAGCUAGAGUGCAUUGUACGCGUUAAAGGUCGCGCGGCCUGGCAAUACUGCCAAGCGGUGGUGGGUCGUUGGUUUUUUAACUCGAGCGGAUAGACGUAAAUUGAGUAACCUUAACCUUAGCUUCCAAAAAAGCUUAAACUUCAACCUGUGCUAUAAGGCGCCCAAGAAAAACAGUUGGUGUAUGACUAGAGCGGCAAAAUUCACAAUCAACCACCUCAGAUUCAGCAGUCAAAAUUUCCGUCAUCGAGCAGCAAUAAAAACAAGCCAGUCGACAGCACCAGCAGUUGAUGAGGAAACAUCAGCAAACAAUGUUCAACGCGGAGCACAACAAUAAAGUGGAAUUUCACAAAAGGCAAAAAGAAGAGGAAGAAAUAUUCAUGGAAAUGAAAACAAUCCCCAAAAACUUGUGCGCAUCAGAGGGAUCAAUGACCUACGUUGGUGCGGUUGAUGGUUUAGUUGGCUUACUAACUGACUGGUGGGUUGUCAUUGCUCGCUCACUUGAUGUUCAAUGUUGUGGCCCGUUUGCUGCCGCCGACUCGUGUUAAGUAGGUAGAGAAAAGAUUUCCAUACUUUAUAUAGUUACAUAUUUAGGGGCUAUUUUUUACAUCAGUUCAGCAAACUUUAAAAUGUGUGAUUAAACUUUGCAAUCAAUUCACUAUGAAAAUAAUUCAGAAGGUGUGGCCAGCAUCAGACCGUUAACCGGCUCUUAGCGAUUUUGAAGGAAUCAGUUGAUUUGCUGACGUAGCAAGGGAUGUUACAGCUGUUGGUUUGUGACAUGUGGUAUAAGAAAAACAAUUAACGCAGCCACUAUUCAUAUUACUUCGUUGUCAAGAUGCUAAACUCCCUCAGUUAAUGUGAGAGCGCGCCCAGGAACUCCUUUAAAUACUUAGCAACGCUGUCAAUCCCUGGGCAGAUGAACAGCUGAUAGACGAAAUGAUGGAUUGCCAGAAAUAAGGCGCCAAAAAUAGAGGAUAAAAAUAAUUUGUUUUUACAUCAAUGGAAAAGUGUCCCGAUUUACUUAUUUGUUUUAAAAAUAAAUUCCCAAACCUUUGAGAAAAUCUUAAUUAAUUUGAUAUUCAACACUAUUUAUCAUUUCAAUUUUUCAAUUUCAAUUUCAAUUUAUUUCAAUCAUUCGAUUUUUUAGUUAAUUUAAUUUAAUUUAAUUUUUCUCAAAUAUUUGUUAUAAUUAAGUAAUAUACAUAAGCUGUACACUGCUGGUCUUAGGUUAGACGCACCAUCGUUUUUUUUUUUAAACAAAAUCAAUUAUCUAUUAUCAUGCUUGUUCUAAUUGUCCAAAA
Molecule: long non-coding RNA, 1900 nt
Organism: Anastrepha ludens (Mexican fruit fly)
Lineage: Eukaryota; Metazoa; Arthropoda; Insecta; Diptera; Tephritidae
Exons: 2
Source: RefSeq, a predicted model, not a curated record